GACGAACCGAGCGAACGUUGUUCGGAAUCACUGGGCUUAAAGGGCGCGUAGGCGGGUGCUCAAGUCCGGGGUGAAAUCCCACAGCUCAACUGUGGGCUUGCAUUCGAUACGGGCAGGCUAGAGUUCGGUAGGGGAGACUGGAAUUCCUGGUGUAGCGGUGUAAUGCGCAGAUAUCAGGAGGAACACCUGUGGCGAAAGCGGCGCACUGGACCACAACUGACGCUGAGGCGCGAAAGCUAGGGGAGCAAACAGG
RNAcentral lists this ribosomal RNA (253 nucleotides) under uncultured bacterium. Its description in RNAcentral is "partial 16S ribosomal RNA". It matches the Rfam family "Bacterial small subunit ribosomal RNA", at positions 524 to 776 of the family's 1533-position model. The record is from RNAcentral.